This 171-nucleotide microRNA precursor is filed under the name Podarcis lilfordi (Lilford's wall lizard). The record is from RNAcentral. Lineage: Eukaryota; Metazoa; Chordata; Lepidosauria; Squamata; Lacertidae.
AAGAGCCGCUGAGUGGGGAGGAGAGAGGGACAGAGAGCCUGCUUGCUUUAAAGGAGCAAAGCGGGAGAGGAGAGGAGCCGCUUACACGAGUGUAAGCGGCUCCUGUCCGGUUGGCUCCUUUAAAGCAAGCAGGCUCUCUGUCCCUCUCUCCUCCCCACUCAGCUCGCUAAA